RNAcentral lists this ribosomal RNA (393 nucleotides) under uncultured bacterium. RNAcentral's name for it is "partial 16S ribosomal RNA". It matches the Rfam family "Bacterial small subunit ribosomal RNA", at positions 523 to 918 of the family's 1533-position model. The record is from RNAcentral.
AUACGGAGGAUCCGAGCGUUAUCCGGAUUUAUUGGGUUUAAAGGGAGCGUAGGCGGACGCUUAAGUCAGUUGUGAAAGUUUGCGGCUCAACCGUAAAAUUGCAGUUGAUACUGGGUGUCUUGAGUACAGUAGAGGCAGGCGGAAUUCGUGGUGUAGCGGUGAAAUGCUUAGAUAUCACGAAGAAAUCCGAUUGCGAAGGCAGCCUGCUGGACUGUAACUGACGCUGAUGCUCGAAAGUGUGGGUAUCAAACAGGAUUAGAUACCCUGGUAGUCCACACAGUAAACGAUGAAUACUCGCUGUUUGCGAUAUACAGUAAGCGGCCAAGCGAAAGCGUUAAGUAUUCCACCCGGGGAGUACGCCGGCAACGGUGAAACUCAAAGGAAUUGACGGGG